MicroRNA precursor from Homo sapiens (human), 52 nucleotides. It matches the Rfam family "mir-1302 microRNA precursor family". The record is from Rfam. NCBI's taxonomy places the organism in Eukaryota, Metazoa, Chordata, Mammalia, Primates, Hominidae.
UUUUUAGUAUAAAUAUGGCCCAUGAAAUAUUUGGAACAUACUUAUACUAAAA